Long non-coding RNA from Pyrus x bretschneideri (Chinese white pear), 682 nucleotides. RefSeq lists it as uncharacterized. NCBI's taxonomy places the organism in Eukaryota, Viridiplantae, Streptophyta, Magnoliopsida, Rosales, Rosaceae. The record is from RefSeq and is a predicted model, not a curated record. The transcript has 2 exons.
UAUUAGUGCACUUAAAUGUGAUUUCUUUCAUUGGUUGUUCGCGUUAAUGACCCCCUUUUUAACAGGUGAAUCAAUCGAAGAGAUCUCUACUAGACCCAAAGCCUAUUCUGCGCAAGAGAAGAUCAUUCAAGCGACAACCAAGUCAAUCUGGUAGAGGAAAACAACCAAUUUUCUUGCAAGUUCUUCUGAAUUAUGGAUAUUACAUGCUAUCUAGGGUUUUCCAGCAGUGGUGGGUGAGGUAGCUAUAUAUAUAUAUAUAUAUAUAUAUAUAUAUAGAGAGAGAGAGAGAGAGAGAGAGAGAGAGAGAGAGAGAGAGAGGUAGGGUUGGACUAGAUUAGAAAACAUAAUAUACAAUCAGAACUAGACUAGAACUAGGAGUAGAAGUUGGACUUGGAGUGUGAUUGUUCUGCAUCAAUUGGAAUCAGACUUGCUUUAUCACGGUAUACACCUGAAGUGGAUCAUUGGAGUCUUGCUGUAAAAAGAUGGGAAAUUAUUAGAAAAGGAAUGGAGGUCUGAAAUUCCUAUCCCCGGGGAGGACCUCAUAGGUCUAUUCUGUGUUAUUCUUGCUGUAUUUUUGUAUCAUUGACGUUGAAAAAUGAUCACAUAAGAUUAAAUCAUAACUUUUUAACUUUUAUACCAAUAACCGAAUCUGCACUAAUUGGAAUAUGCACCAAUUUACUUU